GACCAACGCUGGCGGCGUGCCUAAUACAUGCAAGUUGAGCGCUGAAGGUUGGUACUUGUACCGACUGGAUGAGCAGCGAACGGGUGAGUAACGCGUGGGGAAUCUGCCUUUGAGCGGGGGACAACAUUUGGAAACGAAUGCUAAUACCGCAUAAAAACUUUAAACACAAGUUUUAAGUUUGAAAGAUGCAAUUGCAUCACACAAAGAUGAGCCCGCGUUGUAUCAGCUAGUUGGUGAGGUAAAGGCUCACCAAGGCGAUGAUACAUAGCCGACCUGAGAGGGUGAUCGGGCACAUUGGGACUGAAACACGGCCCAAACUCCUACGGGAGGCAGCAGUAGGGAAUCUUCGGCAAUGGACGAAAGUCUGACCGAGCAACGCCGCGUGAGUGAAGAAGGUUUUCGGAUCGUAAAACUCUGUUGGUAGAGAAGAACGUUGGUGAGAGUGGAAAGCUCAUCAAGUGACGGUAACUACCCAGAAAGGGACGGCUAACUACGUGCCAGCCGCCGCCGUAA
RNAcentral lists this ribosomal RNA (513 nucleotides) under uncultured bacterium. Its description in RNAcentral is "partial 16S ribosomal RNA". It matches the Rfam family "Bacterial small subunit ribosomal RNA", at positions 28 to 523 of the family's 1533-position model. The record is from RNAcentral.